Molecule: long non-coding RNA, 676 nt
Organism: Apis dorsata (giant honeybee)
Lineage: Eukaryota; Metazoa; Arthropoda; Insecta; Hymenoptera; Apidae
Exons: 3
Source: RefSeq, a predicted model, not a curated record
GUUCGAUGAGUUUGGCGGAGAAGAAAAGAUUCGGAUAGGAGACGGAUCGGGGCGCGAUAUAUAAAUUGGAAGGAAGUAAGGAAGGCGCGGAAGAUGGAAGUGGCGAGAUUCUCGUUCGUUGUCCGAAUAUUGGAUUUCACCCGUGUGGCAAGAAACUACCCUCUCUCGCGGAAUAUCCCCUUUUUAUUCCCUUUUUCGUCGCCUUCUUCCAUUUCCGUAUGUACGUAGCGUACGUAUACGUAAGCGUAAGCCCGCGCUUCCUUCCUCCCCGUUGGAGAGGAGGAGGAGGAAGAAGAAGAAAACGGACGUAUCGAGUAAAGGGAAAGAUUCCGGUGGCCGAAGGUGAGAUCAACCAUGUAUCCUCGAACGACAUCCACCCGAGAAAUUGGCCACCGCCGCCGUCGACUCCGUGAACCAGCGAUAGUAUCAUAGGAACAGGCAAAUCUACGUAGCGGAUAGGAUGUAGCGACGUAUCCACCACAACCCUGUGUAGGAAAUGCCGCGUAUAUUUCGAGCGUAAUCGAUCUUUCCGCAUCGCGAAUCGCGGCAUCAACGCAUAGAAACGUUUCGAGUAGGUAUUCAAACCAGUUUCGCCUUUCCCCGGCUACAUGUUUCUUAUGUAUUGUUAUUCGCAUAUACGUAUAUACCUUGUACGUAUAUACGUAUAUAGGGAGAA